AGAUGGCGACCGGCGCACGGGUGAGUAACACGUAUCCAACCUGCCGAUAACUCGGGGAUAGCCUUUCGAAAGAAAGAUUAAUACCCGAUGGUAUAAUCAGACCGCAUGGUUUGAUUAUUAAAGAAUUUCGGUUAUCGAUGGGGAUGCGUUCCAUUAGGCAGUUGGUGAGGUAACGGCUCACCAAACCUUCGAUGGAUAGGGGUUCCGAGAGGAAGGUCCCCCACAUUGGAACUGAGACACGGUCCAA
RNAcentral lists this ribosomal RNA (247 nucleotides) under uncultured bacterium. RNAcentral describes it as "partial 16S ribosomal RNA". It matches the Rfam family "Bacterial small subunit ribosomal RNA", at positions 86 to 334 of the family's 1533-position model. The record is from RNAcentral.